AUCGGGGCAGGGUGAGUCGACCCCUAAGGCGAGGCCGAAAGGCGUAGUCGAUGGGAAACAGGUUAAUAUUCCUGUACUUGGUGUUACUGCGAAGGGGGGACGGAGAAGGCUAUGUUGGCCGGGCGACGGUUGUCCCGGUUUAAGCGUGUAGGCUGGUUUUCCAGGCAAAUCCGGAAAAUCAAGGCUGAGGCGUGAUGACGAGGCACUACGGUGCUGAAGCAACAAAUGCCCUGCUUCCAGGAAAAGCCUCUAAGCAUCAGGUAACAUCAAAUCGUACCCCAAACCGACACAGGUGGUCAGGUAGAGAAUACCAAGGCGCUUGAGAGAACUCGGGUGAAGGAACUAGGCAAAAUGGUGCCGUAACUUCGGGAGAAGGCACGCUGAUAUGUAGGUGAAGCGACUUGCUC
This 407-nucleotide ribosomal RNA is filed under the name Escherichia coli. RNAcentral describes it as "partial 23S ribosomal RNA". It matches the Rfam family "Bacterial large subunit ribosomal RNA", at positions 1368 to 1774 of the family's 2925-position model. The record is from RNAcentral. Lineage: Bacteria; Pseudomonadati; Pseudomonadota; Gammaproteobacteria; Enterobacterales; Enterobacteriaceae.